Molecule: long non-coding RNA, 513 nt
Organism: Suricata suricatta (meerkat)
Lineage: Eukaryota; Metazoa; Chordata; Mammalia; Carnivora; Herpestidae
Exons: 2
Source: RefSeq, a predicted model, not a curated record
UCCAGGACUUUAAUCCUCAGCGGGGAGCCCUGUGCCCUCUAGAAUUCCCCUCCUUAUCCAAUCUUUGGAGUGUCUACCCCAACAGCUCAUGGAGGAGACCGGACCACCUUGCCCCCACGGGAGGAAGUCACGGCUCCAUGACCAGCAGCAGGCCAGCUCACCUGGACAGUCUCUAUGACAACAGAGAAGGUAUGGUCCUGGCAGUCCUGUGCCAGCAGAUACUGGCAAACUCCACUGAAGGUGAAGUACCUGUUGUCAAAGCUCUUGAAGUGGGAUUGUCCGGUCACGAGGCACUCCCCUGGAGGGACACAGAGGAGGAAGACAACAGGAUUUGGAAAGCUUCUGGGCUGGUGAAUGUAUCCACACACAGCAGGAUGGCACACCCCAAUUCCAUGGGGACAGAAGCUCCUAUGCUCAGGAUCCUUCUGGACUUUGCCCUAUGCACCUCUUCAUCUGGCUGUUGAUCUGUACCCUUUAUACUAUCCUUUAUAAUAAAUAGUAAUUUUAAGUAAA